Molecule: ribosomal RNA, 478 nt
Filed under: uncultured bacterium
Lineage: Bacteria
Description: partial 16S ribosomal RNA
Rfam family: Bacterial small subunit ribosomal RNA
Source: RNAcentral
GACGAACGCUGGCGGCGUGCUUAACACAUGCAAGUCGAACGGUAAGGCCCUUCGGGGUACACGAGUGGCGAACGGGUGAGUAACACGUGGGUGAUCUGCCCUGCACUUCGGGAUAAGCCUGGGAAACUGGGUCUAAUACCGGAUAGGACUCCUGGCUUCAUGGUUGGGGGUGGAAAGCUUUUGCGGUGUGGGAUGGGCCCGCGGCCUAUCAGCUUGUUGGUGGGGUGAGGGCCUACCAAGGCGACGACGGGUAGCCGGCCGGAGAGGGUGACCGGCCACACUGGGACUGAGAUACGGCCCAGACUCCUACGGGAGGCAGCAGUGGGGAAUAUUGCACAAUGGGCGCAAGCCUGAUGCAGCGACGCCGCGUGAGGGAUGACGGCCUUCGGGUUGUAAACCUCUUUCAGCACCGACGAAGCGCAAGUGACGGUAGGUGCAGAAGAAGGACCGGCCGACUACGUGCCAGCAGCCGCCGUAA